GCUUGGCACCUAACAAAAAUCAGUAUCAAAGAAAACAAGACUCAUAAGUGAAUUUUGCUAAAGAAGAUAAUGAAGAACCUGAUGAGGAAAUUGUGCAACUCAUGAUAACAACUAAUUGUAGAACUAGAGAAAGUGAUACCUAGUAUCUUGACUCUGGUUGCUCCAAUCACAUGACUGGGCACAAGGAAUAGUGAGUGAA
This 199-nucleotide long non-coding RNA is filed under the name Lupinus angustifolius (narrow-leaved blue lupine). Its description in RNAcentral is "long non-coding RNA (LANG_LNC003096)". The record is from RNAcentral. Lineage: Eukaryota; Viridiplantae; Streptophyta; Magnoliopsida; Fabales; Fabaceae.